Molecule: ribosomal RNA, 468 nt
Filed under: uncultured bacterium
Lineage: Bacteria
Description: partial 16S ribosomal RNA
Rfam family: Bacterial small subunit ribosomal RNA
Source: RNAcentral
GACGAACGCUGGCGGCGUGCUUAACACAUGCAAGUCGAACGGAAAGGCCCUGCUUUUGUGGGGUGCUCGAGUUGCGAACGGGUGAGUAACACGUGAGUAACCUGCCCUUGACUUUGGGAUAACUUCAGGAAACUAGGGCUAAUACCGGAUAGGAGCUCCUGCUGCAUGGUGUUGGCUGGAAAGUUUCGGCGGCUGGGGAAGGACUCGCGGCUUAUCAGCUUUAUGGUGUGGUAGUGGCUUACCCAGGCUUUGACGGGUAGCCGGCCUGAGAGGGUGACCGGCCACAUUGGGACUGAGAUACGGCCCAGACUCCUACGGGAGGCAGCAGUGGGGAAUAUUGCACAAUGGGCGGAAGCCUGAUGCAGCAACGCCGCGUGCGGGAUGACUGCCUUCGGGUUGUAAACCGCUUUCGCCUGUGACGAAGCGUGAGUGACGGUAAUGUGUAAAGAAGCACCGGCUAACUACGUG